CCUACGGGAGGCAGCAGUGGGGAAUAUUGCACAAUGGGGGAAACCCUGAUGCAGCGACGCAGCGUGAGUGAAGAAGUAAUUCGUUAUGUAAAGCUCUAUCAGCAGGGAAGAAAAUGACGGUACCUGAGUAAGAAGCCCCGGCUAACUACGUGCCAGCAGCCGCGGUACUACGUAGGGGGCAAGCGUUAUACGGAUUUACUGGGUGUAAAGGGAGCGUAGACGGCAGUGCAAGUCUGGAGUGAAAGGCGGGGGCUCAACCCCCGGACUGCACUGGAAACUGUACGGCUGGAGUGCAGGUGAGGUAAGUGGAAUUCCUGGUGUAGCGGUGAAAUGCGUAGAUAUUAGGAGGAACUCCAGUGGCGAAGGCGGCUUACUGGACUGUAACUGACGUUGAGGCUCGAAAGCGUGGGGAGCAAACAGGAUUAGAUACCCCAGUAGUC
Molecule: ribosomal RNA, 440 nt
Filed under: uncultured bacterium
Lineage: Bacteria
Description: partial 16S ribosomal RNA
Rfam family: Bacterial small subunit ribosomal RNA
Source: RNAcentral